Roseburia sp. 831b is the source of this 145-nucleotide non-coding RNA. Lineage: Bacteria; Bacillati; Bacillota; Clostridia; Lachnospirales; Lachnospiraceae. The record is from Rfam.
UCAAAUCUUUGCAUAUUGCCGAAGACAGUAGGUGCCGCAGGGCGUAACGAUUAGACCUACCGAGGGAAUCUUUCGAUGAUUUAUCAUCAUAAGAGUGAAUGAUGACCUCUCUGUCUGCGGAUAGAGAGGUUUUUUAUAUGAAUCG